This 122-nucleotide ribosomal RNA is filed under the name Diaphorina citri (Asian citrus psyllid). Lineage: Eukaryota; Metazoa; Arthropoda; Insecta; Hemiptera; Psyllidae. The record is from RNAcentral.
ACCAGCAGCGAUAGCUCCUUGAAAGCACCAGUUCCGCAUGGAUUACUGAAGUUGAGCACGGUUGCGCGUGCAUGGUUAGUACCCGGAUGGGUGACCAUCUGGCCAAUAGCGUGCUGCUAGGU